RNAcentral lists this ribosomal RNA (409 nucleotides) under uncultured bacterium. Its description in RNAcentral is "bacterial SSU rRNA". It matches the Rfam family "Bacterial small subunit ribosomal RNA", at positions 355 to 776 of the family's 1533-position model. The record is from RNAcentral.
UGGGGAAUAUUGCACAAUGGGCGGAAGCCUGAUGCAGCGACGCCGCGUGAGGGAUGACGGCCUUCGGGUUGUAAACCUCUUUCGCUAGGGACGAAGCGCGAGUGACGGUACCUAGAGAAGAAGCACCGGCCAACUACGUGCCAGCAGCCGCGGUAAUACGUAGGGUGCAAGCGUUGUCCGGAAUUACUGGGCGUAAAGAGCUCGUAGGCGGUUUGUCGCGUCGUCUGUGAAAUUCUGCAGCUUAACUGCAGGCGUGCAGGCGAUACGGGCAGACUUGAGUACUACAGGGGAGACUGGAAUUCCUGGUGUAGCGGUGAAAUGCGCAGAUAUCAGGAGGAACACCGGUGGCGAAGGCGGGUCUCUGGGUAGUAACUGACGCUGAGGAGCGAAAGCGUGGGGAGCGAACAGG